Long non-coding RNA from Diceros bicornis minor, 201 nucleotides. RefSeq lists it as uncharacterized. The transcript has 3 exons. NCBI's taxonomy places the organism in Eukaryota, Metazoa, Chordata, Mammalia, Perissodactyla, Rhinocerotidae. The record is from RefSeq and is a predicted model, not a curated record.
CACCUGCCUCGUGGACCCAAGCAUGACGGCCCAGGACAGGGCGAGGAGUGCGAGAUACUGAAGAACUUCUCCUCGCCCUGCACUGUCAUCUCUGCUCUGCAGAAAACCUCCACAAGCCACCUGAAGAACACAUGGGGGAAGGUUCCCGGAGGGGCCCUCCACGUUUGCCCCCCCAGAGAGCAACCCCCAGAGAGUGAAGGA